Molecule: non-coding RNA, 83 nt
Organism: Canis lupus familiaris (dog)
Lineage: Eukaryota; Metazoa; Chordata; Mammalia; Carnivora; Canidae
Source: Rfam
GCCUGGGUGGCUCAGUGGUUGAGCGUCUGCCUUUGGCUCAGGGUGUGACCCAGGAUUCCUGGGAUCAAGUCCCACAUCAGGCU